CCAGACUCCUACGGGAGGCAGCAGUGGGGAAUAUUGCACAAUGGGGGAAACCCUGAUGCAGCGACGCCGCGUGAGUGAAGAAGUAUUUCGGUAUGUAAAGCUCUAUCAGCAGGAACGAGACAAGACGGUACCUGACUAAGAAGCCCCGGCUAACUACGUGCCAGCAGCCGCGGUAAUACGUAGGGGGCAAGCGUUAUCCGGAAUCACUGGGCGUAAAGGGAGCGUAGACGGCUGUGCAAGCCUGAAGUGAAAGGCGGGGGCCCAACCCCUGGACUGCUUUGGGAACUGUGCAGCUAGAGUGCAGGAGAGGUGAGUGGAAUUCCUAGUGUAGCGGUGAAAUGCGUAGAUAUUAGGAGGAACACCAGUGGCGAAGGCGGCUUACUGGACUGUAACUGACGUUGAGGCUCGAAAGCGUGGGGAGCAAACAGGAUUAGAUACCCCGGUAC
This 446-nucleotide ribosomal RNA is filed under the name uncultured bacterium. RNAcentral's name for it is "bacterial SSU rRNA". It matches the Rfam family "Bacterial small subunit ribosomal RNA", at positions 331 to 793 of the family's 1533-position model. The record is from RNAcentral.